AGAGUCAUCAAACCAGAGGGCAAACAAAUUGAGAAAACCAUGUUCUGGAAAAAUAACUUUCUGCUUAAACCACAAUUAAUGAGGCUGGCUGAAGAAUUCGCAUCUCCACAAAACAAGGCAGACCCCUCUCCUGCUCCCCUGGGAAGCUUCUCAACAAGGAACAUAAAAGUCUGGCUGCACCAGAAGGCAUCAGGGGCUCUGGAUUUGCCCUCUGCACCAGGGCCUUCCGCAGCUGGUGGACCAAAAGUUGCUGCAGACGCAUUCUGGCAGCUGCCCUCAAAAGCAGAGACAGCCUUCAGCUCAGCCAGGGACAUGGCUCACUUCUGUACAGCACACCCCAUCUUCACCAUUCAUCCUCCAAUACACAACCUGUUAUAACUCCUUAGUGAGAUGGGACAAAAAAAAAGCAUAAAAAAUAAGGUAUGUCUUACAUCCUCUUCAGACCACCUCCCUGCUCCCAACGGCUACCAUUCCCUGGGUGCCCAUGGAAGUCCACCAGAAAUAUAAUCUAAAUGUCAGGCUCUGUAGAUCACAAACUGCCUCUAAGGUGAUUCCUUCUGAGAAUAGCUCUUCAUUGCUGGGGCACUGAAGGCCUAAGACAUACUAACAAAACAGCCCGUCUGCUAAAGCAACAAGUUGCAAUGUGCCCUGAGACUUGACUAUAACCUCUAAAUUUUUUUUCCAUAGUUAUUCUUCAAGUUUUACUUUACUUUCCACUCAUUACAUGAAGUUACCCUCAGCAGCAAUGACCGCCCAGACAUGCCAAUCUUUGCUGCUUCAGUUAUGGCAAAGCAUUUUGCAGAGGAAAGUCCCCUGAAAAUAACAUCCACAGCUGUAGAAACCAAGCUUCUUUGUCAAGAUGACCCCAAAUGGGUCCAAAAGACCUUGAGUGAAAGAACACACCCUGGUACCCUUGUUAUGCUUUUA
Long non-coding RNA from Falco peregrinus (peregrine falcon), 927 nucleotides. RefSeq lists it as uncharacterized. NCBI's taxonomy places the organism in Eukaryota, Metazoa, Chordata, Aves, Falconiformes, Falconidae. The record is from RefSeq and is a predicted model, not a curated record. The transcript is spliced from 2 exons.